UUACAGGGGCCAUUUCCCCCAUGCUGUUCUCAUGAUAAUCUGAAAGAAACGUACCAUCUAUUCUUCGAAGGCUGCAACCAGUGAGGUUUCAUCUACAUAACAAGACCACCUUUGGCGGCCAGGCCUCCUCUUCUCUCCCUCCCAUUACCUGUUUUGCCAUUAUAACCUGAUUUACCACUAUAACCUGUUUUUGCCUGUGCUCUGGACUCCCAUUCUUUCUGUAACCUCAAGAUGAUAUGUAAGCUUCUGCACCCCAUUGGUGAGUUGAGCAGUCACUCUGUGGUUCUCCCUGUGCUCACAUUAAUAAAAUC
Molecule: long non-coding RNA, 311 nt
Filed under: Homo sapiens (human)
Lineage: Eukaryota; Metazoa; Chordata; Mammalia; Primates; Hominidae
Description: HSALNT0122198
Source: RNAcentral